AGCCGCGGUAAUACGUAGGUGGCAAGCGUUGUCCGGAUUUAUUGGGCGUAAAGCGCGCGCAGGCGGUCUUUUAAGUCUGAUGUGAAAGCCCCCGGCUUAACCGGGGAGGGUCAUUGGAAACUGGAAGACUGGAGUGCAGAAGAGGAGAGUGGAAUUCCACGUGUAGCGGUGAAAUGCGUAGAUAUGUGGAGGAACACCAGUGGCGAAGGCGACUCUCUGGUCUGUAACUGACGCUGAGG
Molecule: ribosomal RNA, 239 nt
Filed under: uncultured Listeria sp.
Lineage: Bacteria; Bacillati; Bacillota; Bacilli; Caryophanales; Listeriaceae
Description: partial 16S ribosomal RNA
Rfam family: Bacterial small subunit ribosomal RNA
Source: RNAcentral